GUGAAAAAGGUGAUCGUCACUAACGUUCUCGAACCCACAUUUUCACUUAACGUUAACACCACUAACGUCCUAACUAACGUCCAUGCCUAACUCACACUUUCUCUGCAAGCAAAGCUGAGCCCACUGAAGACUACAAUUGCUUCAACUAAAGAUCCAAAGGCCCAUAUCCAAGACUUAAAGAGCCAACUAAAAUAUUAGAAAAGUAGUAUAUAUAGGAGUAGUUUUGAACUAGUAAAGGAGUUUUUUGGUAUUUUGGAGAACUACACUCUGUAUAUUUUACUUUCUCUGCAACUUCUAGUUUUAGUUUUCAUAAUGUACUUUUCAUCUAUGCUUUCCAUUCCCAGAGCUAUGAACAACUAAACCC
Molecule: long non-coding RNA, 364 nt
Filed under: Arachis ipaensis
Lineage: Eukaryota; Viridiplantae; Streptophyta; Magnoliopsida; Fabales; Fabaceae
Description: long non-coding RNA (AIPA_LNC000105)
Source: RNAcentral